Mizuhopecten yessoensis (Yesso scallop) is the source of this 425-nucleotide long non-coding RNA. RefSeq lists it as uncharacterized. The record is from RefSeq and is a predicted model, not a curated record. NCBI's taxonomy places the organism in Eukaryota, Metazoa, Mollusca, Bivalvia, Pectinida, Pectinidae. The transcript has 3 exons.
UCUAUCAGGUCCGGUUGUAAACAAUUAUCAAUGAUUACGUCGGGUUCCCUGGCUUAUAAAUACGCCAAGUCUUGUAUGCAUUGUCAGUGUUAUCCACACAAAGCUCCACAAUAGUCGAAGAUGAACAACAAACUUGUACUGACGAUUCUGCUGGUGACUGUAGGUCUGAUGUGCCUAGGCAUCGCCCCGGUAACCGGUCAAGGGAGAGGAUGCAGUUGUCGUCGAAGUUGUUAUCCGGGUGAACGAAACACUUAUCGGAGGUGCAGUAUACCUGGAUCAUAUGGCUGGGGCUCCCGGGGCACCGAGUGUUGUCGAGGUGGCUUUUUUUACGGCCGUUAGGAAAACCUAGAUUGCGAUUCGUACUGAAAGGAUCAGAUUAAAACAAGCAACGUCAGCGUAAAUCUCGAGAUGUGUGUUACCAGCAG